AGCUUUGCGCAGUGGCAGUAUCAUAGCCAAUGAGGUUUAUCUGAGGCGCGAUUACUGCUAAUUGAAAACUUUUCACAAAAUGU
Molecule: small nuclear RNA, 83 nt
Filed under: Erinaceus europaeus (western European hedgehog)
Lineage: Eukaryota; Metazoa; Chordata; Mammalia; Eulipotyphla; Erinaceidae
Description: U4 spliceosomal RNA
Rfam family: U4 spliceosomal RNA
About the family: U4 small nuclear RNA (U4 snRNA) is a component of the major U2-dependent spliceosome. The structure of U4 snRNA from yeast and human has been reported.
Source: Rfam by way of RNAcentral